GGUUAAGCGACUAAGCGUACACGGUGGAUGCCCUGGCAGUCAGAGGCGAUGAAGGACGUGCUAAUCUGCGAUAAGCGUCGGUAAGGUGAUAUGAACCGUUAUAACCGGCGAUUUCCGAAUGGGGAAACCCAGUGUGAUUCGUCACACUAUCAUUAACUGAAUCCAUAGGUUAAUGAGGCGAACCGGGGGAACUGAAACAUCUAAGUACCCCGAGGAAAAGAAAUCAACCGAGAUUCCCCCAGUAGCGGCGAGCGAACGGGGAGCAGCCCAGAGCCUGAAUCAGUGUGUGUGUUAGUGGAAGCGUCUGGAAAGGCGCGCGAUACAGGGUGACAGCCCCGUACACAAAAAUGCACAUACUGUGAGCUCGAUGAGUAGGGCGGGACACGUGGUAUCCUGUCUGAAUAUGGGGGGACCAUCCUCCAAGGCUAAAUACUCCUGACUGACCGAUAGUGAACCAGUACCGUGAGGGAAAGGCGAAAAGAACCCCGGCGAGGGGAGUGAAAAAGAACCUGAAACCGUGUACGUACAAGCAGUGGGAGCACAGAGCAAUCUGUGUGACUGCGUACCUUUUGUAUAAUGGGUCAGCGACUUAUAUUCUGUAGCAAGGUUAACCGAAUAGGGGAGCCGAAGGGAAACCGAGUCUUAACUGGGCGUUAAGUUGCAGGGUAUAGACCCGAAACCCGGUGAUCUAGCCAUGGGCAGGUUGAAGGUUGGGUAACACUAACUGGAGGACCGAACCGACUAAUGUUGAAAAAUUAGCGGAUGACUUGUGGCUGGGGGUGAAAGGCCAAUCAAACCGGGAGAUAGCUGGUUCUCCCCGAAAGCUAUUUAGGUAGCGCCUCGUGAAUUCAUCUCCGGGGGUAGAGCACUGUUUCGGCAAGGGGGUCAUCCCGACUUACCAACCCGAUGCAAACUGCGAAUACCGGAGAAUGUUAUCACGGGAGACACACGGCGGGUGCUAACGUCCGUCGUGAAGAGGGAAACAACCCAGACCGCCAGCUAAGGUCCCAAAGUCAUGGUUAAGUGGGAAACGAUGUGGGAAGGCCCAGACAGCCAGGAUGUUGGCUUAGAAGCAGCCAUCAUUUAAAGAAAGCGUAAUAGCUCACUGGUCGAGUCGGCCUGCGCGGAAGAUGUAACGGGGCUAAACCAUGCACCGAAGCUGCGGCAGCGACGCUUAUGCGUUGUUGGGUAGGGGAGCGUUCUGUAAGCCUGCGAAGGUGUGCUGUGAGGCAUGCUGGAGGUAUCAGAAGUGCGAAUGCUGACAUAAGUAACGAUAAAGCGGGUGAAAAGCCCGCUCGCCGGAAGACCAAGGGUUCCUGUCCAACGUUAAUCGGGGCAGGGUGAGUCGACCCCUAAGGCGAGGCCGAAAGGCGUAGUCGAUGGGAAACAGGUUAAUAUUCCUGUACUUGGUGUUACUGCGAAGGGGGGACGGAGAAGGCUAUGUUGGCCGGGCGACGGUUGUCCCGGUUUAAGCGUGUAGGCUGGUUUUCCAGGCAAAUCCGGAAAAUCAAGGCUGAGGCGUGAUGACGAGGCACUACGGUGCUGAAGCAACAAAUGCCCUGCUUCCAGGAAAAGCCUCUAAGCAUCAGGUAACAUCAAAUCGUACCCCAAACCGACACAGGUGGUCAGGUAGAGAAUACCAAGGCGCUUGAGAGAACUCGGGUGAAGGAACUAGGCAAAAUGGUGCCGUAACUUCGGGAGAAGGCACGCUGAUAUGUAGGUGAAGUCCCUCGCGGAUGGAGCUGAAAUCAGUCGAAGAUACCAGCUGGCUGCAACUGUUUAUUAAAAACACAGCACUGUGCAAACACGAAAGUGGACGUAUACGGUGUGACGCCUGCCCGGUGCCGGAAGGUUAAUUGAUGGGGUCAGCGCAAGCGAAGCUCUUGAUCGAAGCCCCGGUAAACGGCGGCCGUAACUAUAACGGUCCUAAGGUAGCGAAAUUCCUUGUCGGGUAAGUUCCGACCUGCACGAAUGGCGUAAUGAUGGCCAGGCUGUCUCCACCCGAGACUCAGUGAAAUUGAACUCGCUGUGAAGAUGCAGUGUACCCGCGGCAAGACGGAAAGACCCCGUGAACCUUUACUAUAGCUUGACACUGAACAUUGAGCCUUGAUGUGUAGGAUAGGUGGGAGGCUUAGAAGUGUGGACGCCAGUCUGCAUGGAGCCGACCUUGAAAUACCACCCUUUAAUGUUUGAUGUUCUAACGUUGACCCGUGAUCCGGGUUGCGGACAGUGUCUGGUGGGUAGUUUGACUGGGGCGGUCUCCUCCUAAAGAGUAACGGAGGAGCACGAAGGUUGGCUAAUCCUGGUCGGACAUCAGGAGGUUAGUGCAAUGGCAUAAGCCAGCUUGACUGCGAGCGUGACGGCGCGAGCAGGUGCGAAAGCAGGUCAUAGUGAUCCGGUGGUUCUGAAUGGAAGGGCCAUCGCUCAACGGAUAAAAGGUACUCCGGGGAUAACAGGCUGAUACCGCCCAAGAGUUCAUAUCGACGGCGGUGUUUGGCACCUCGAUGUCGGCUCAUCACAUCCUGGGGCUGAAGUAGGUCCCAAGGGUAUGGCUGUUCGCCAUUUAAAGUGGUACGCGAGCUGGGUUUAGAACGUCGUGAGACAGUUCGGUCCCUAUCUGCCGUGGGCGCUGGAGAACUGAGGGGGGCUGCUCCUAGUACGAGAGGACCGGAGUGGACGCAUCACUGGUGUUCGGGUUGUCAUGCCAAUGGCACUGCCCGGUAGCUAAAUGCGGAAGAGAUAAGUGCUGAAAGCAUCUAAGCACGAAACUUGCCCCGAGAUGAGUUCUCCCUGACUCCUUGAGAGUCCUGAAGGAACGUUGAAGACGACGACGUUGAUAGGCCGGGUGUGUAAGCGCAGCGAUGCGUUGAGCUAACCGGUACUAAUGAACCGUGAGGCUUAACCUU
Molecule: ribosomal RNA, 2906 nt
Filed under: Escherichia coli
Lineage: Bacteria; Pseudomonadati; Pseudomonadota; Gammaproteobacteria; Enterobacterales; Enterobacteriaceae
Description: 23S ribosomal RNA
Rfam family: Bacterial large subunit ribosomal RNA
Source: RNAcentral